Long non-coding RNA from Sander lucioperca (pikeperch), 656 nucleotides. RefSeq lists it as uncharacterized. NCBI's taxonomy places the organism in Eukaryota, Metazoa, Chordata, Actinopteri, Perciformes, Percidae. The transcript is spliced from 3 exons. The record is from RefSeq and is a predicted model, not a curated record.
CCUAGAGUUCUUUGAGUGAUGUCAUAUGUUUAAGCUGACUAAAUAGCUAGGCAAAGUGAUUGAUAGUGAGUCCAGUACACUUACAUUACAGUUAUUUGGACUUCUUCAAAUUGAAGCUGAUAAAGUAUCUUUUUAUGGUACCUCUUUCUGAUAGAAUACAUCUUGUCAAGACGUCUAGCUCUGAUGAGAUGACAAUGUUGCGUUCAUGGCAUAAUCACUUAACCUCGGGGCACAGUCGAGGCAAUUCAAACUAUGGCUUCUUACAGUUGUUUGUUUCUGAAUCAUGCAAAGUUAAAAAUUCACCUGAAGGUCAUAAAUCCUCAUGAGCUUGGCUAGCUCCUCCGCUAUCUUGCCAGUUUUGGUGGCCUUGUCUCUGAACAAGGUGAUGAGUUUAGGCGUGUGUCUGUCCAGCUUUUUACAAGAAUUGAUUGCGCAGGUUAACGUUGUUGAUUCGGUGGAACUCUGCAAAAACCUGUACAUGGACAGAAUUACAAAGAAAUGUACAAAGAUGAAUAAGGAACUGAAUUGUGAAUGUAUUUUUUCAAUUGGCAGAACCAAGGUCAAAAUAGAAAGUUAAUUGUCAUUCUUUAAUUUAAAACAGGCUGUAUAAUGUUAUCUAUAGGAAAUUAAAAUAAUAAACCUCUGUAUACUUUGUU